This is a long non-coding RNA of Protopterus annectens (West African lungfish), 469 nucleotides long. RefSeq lists it as uncharacterized. Lineage: Eukaryota; Metazoa; Chordata; Ceratodontiformes; Protopteridae. The transcript is spliced from 2 exons. The record is from RefSeq and is a predicted model, not a curated record.
UCACUGAAGAACCAAAGGUACAUGGAAAUGUCACCGAAGAACCAAAGGUACAUGGAAAUGUCACUGAAGAACCAAAGGUCCAUGGAAACGUCACUGAAGAACCGAUGUGAUCUCCAGAUCUGCAAAGAGUACUUCAAAUGGAUUUUCACGGACAGAAAAGAGUGUUAGAGGAACUACAAACAUGCCAUCUUGGGCUUCUUGAUUGCUUCUUCAACAAAAAGCACCAAAUGAUGCUCACUGCUGGAAUAUAAUCAAAUGUCGAUUGCUAUAACCUCACAUUUUAAGAUGUCAGAUUUUCAGCAUGUUACUUUAAGACUAGGUGCAAAAUAAAAUGUGUGCUCUUUCUCCGGAAAUGCGAUGUAAGAUACCACUAAUGCACUCAUGGGGAAACAUUGUAACUCCAUAUUGAUGCAAUGUUGUUGAUUUUUUUUCUUUGUAUUUUUUAAUGAGUUGAUUUUUGGCACAUUUC